This 199-nucleotide ribosomal RNA is filed under the name Escherichia coli. RNAcentral describes it as "partial 16S ribosomal RNA". It matches the Rfam family "Bacterial small subunit ribosomal RNA", at positions 1 to 193 of the family's 1533-position model. The record is from RNAcentral. Lineage: Bacteria; Pseudomonadati; Pseudomonadota; Gammaproteobacteria; Enterobacterales; Enterobacteriaceae.
AAAUUGAAGAGUUUGAUCAUGGCUCAGAUUGAACGCUGGCGGCAGGCCUAACACAUGCAAGUCGAACGGUAACAGGAAGCAGCUUGCUGCUUUGCUGACGAGUGGCGGACGGGUGAGUAAUGUCUGGGGAACUGCCCGAUGGAGGGGGUUAACUACUGGAAACGGUAGCUAAUACCGCAUAACGUCGCAAGUCCAAAGA